Molecule: ribosomal RNA, 403 nt
Filed under: Verrucomicrobiota bacterium
Lineage: Bacteria; Pseudomonadati; Verrucomicrobiota
Description: Verrucomicrobia bacterium partial 16S ribosomal RNA
Rfam family: Bacterial small subunit ribosomal RNA
Source: RNAcentral
UGGGGAAUAUUGCACAAUGGGGGAAACCCUGAUGCAGCGACGCCGCGUGAGCGAUGAAGGCUUUCGAGUCGUAAAGCUCUGUCCUAUGGGAAGAUAAUGACGGUACCAUAGAAGAAAGCCCCGGCUAAUUACGUGCCAGCAGCCGCGGUAAUACGUAGGUCCCGAGCGUUGUCCGGAUUUAUUGGGCGUAAAGCGAGCGCAGGCGGUUAGAAAAGUCUGAAGUGAAAGGCAGUGGCUCAACCAUUGUAGGCGUUGGAAACUGUUUAACUUGAGAGAAGAAGGGGAGAGUGGAGUUCCAUGUGUGGCGGUGAGAUGCGUGGAUAUAUGGGGGAACACCGGUGGCGAAAGCGGCUCUCUGGUCUGUAACUGACGCUGAGGCUCGAAAGCGUGGGGAGCGAACAGG